Molecule: unclassified non-coding RNA, 212 nt
Filed under: Hevea brasiliensis (rubber tree)
Lineage: Eukaryota; Viridiplantae; Streptophyta; Magnoliopsida; Malpighiales; Euphorbiaceae
Source: RNAcentral
UGAAACAGAAAAGCAAGUAAGCGCCCUUUGAAGUAAACAAUGCCAAUAGGGAGAUAUUCAAUAUCAAAUUAAAAAGAAACAACUAACAGCAUCCUGAAUUUUAAAUAAAAGGUGUGAUAGAAAAUAUACAGAUGUUUAACAGAAAGACAAAUCUUGAGUAGUCAAACGCUCAUUAAAUUACAUACAACUUUCCAUUUAUCUUGAGGACUUAA